Molecule: ribosomal RNA, 400 nt
Filed under: phytoplankton environmental sample
Lineage: Eukaryota
Description: partial small subunit ribosomal RNA
Rfam family: Eukaryotic small subunit ribosomal RNA
Source: RNAcentral
AGCUCCAAUAGCGUAUAUUAAAGUUGUUGCAGUUAAAAAGCUCGUAGUUGGAUUUCUGGCAAUGCGCUGAUGUCGGCCGUGUGCUCGUGCAGACGCGCGUUUCCAUCCUUCUGUUAACGUUUCUUGGUAUUCAUUUACUGGUUUCGGGCUCAGAUAUUUUACCUUGAGAAAAUUAGAGUGUUCAAAGCAGGCAUUACGCGCCCGAAUACAUGAGCAUGGAAUAAUGGAAUAGGACUUUGGUUCUAUUUUGUUGGUUUCCUGGACCGAAGUAAUGAUUAAGAGGGACAAUUGGGGGCGUCCGUAUUUCGUUGUCAGAGGUGAAAUUCUUGGAUUUACGAAAGACGAACAACUGCGAAAGCAUUCGCCAAGAGUGUUUUCAUUAAUCAAGAACGAAAGUAGG